This 465-nucleotide ribosomal RNA is filed under the name uncultured bacterium. RNAcentral describes it as "partial 16S ribosomal RNA". It matches the Rfam family "Bacterial small subunit ribosomal RNA", at positions 338 to 795 of the family's 1533-position model. The record is from RNAcentral.
CCUACGGGUGGCUGCAGUGGGGAAUUUUGGACAAUGGGCGCAAGCCUGAUCCAGCUAUUCCGCGUGUGGGAAGACGGCCUUCGGGUUGUAAACCACUUUUGUUGAGAACGAAAAGUCUAUUGAUAAUACCUUUAGACGAUGACGUUACUCUAAGAAUAAGCACCGGCUAACUACGUGCCAGCAGCCGCGGUAAUACGUAGGGUGCGAGCGUUAAUCGGAAUUACUGGGCGUAAAGGGCGAUCAGGCGGUUUUGUAAGUUGGAUGUGAAAGCCCCGGGCUAAACCUGGGAAAGGCAUACAUGACUGGAAGACUAGAGUGCAUCAGAGGGGGGUGGAAUUCCAGGUGUAGCAGUGAAAUGCGUAGAGAUUUGGAAGAACACCGAUGGCGAAGGCAGCCCCCUGGGACGCAACUGACGCUCAUACACGAAAGCGUGGGGAGCAAACAGGAUUAGAUACCCUUGUAGUC